Molecule: long non-coding RNA, 2017 nt
Filed under: Sus scrofa (pig)
Lineage: Eukaryota; Metazoa; Chordata; Mammalia; Artiodactyla; Suidae
Description: lncRNA (ENSSSCG00015007529.1)
Source: RNAcentral
UUUUUUUUUUUUGGAAUGGAAAUAACUUUUAUGUGCCUUAAAUCAUAAAGGUAAUGAUUUAUCAUAAAAACUGAAACACCAAAGGCAUACAGAAGGCUACACAACAUGAUGUUAGACUGUUAAUGGGUUAAGGAAGCAUCAUUAAGAAGCCAGGGAAAUAACCAUAAUUCUUCAGAAGUCUGGAAAAACGUUAACUUCUAAUAUAUGUGGGAGUGAAGGAAAAUUAGAGUAUAGGAAGAGAAGAGGAUAGAAAAUUGAGUAAAUUCUAUUCAUCGACAUGCAAACUUUAUCAUUCAUUAGAAAAUAUCUACUACAUAUGGCUGUUAAACGAAUUAAUUGAAAUAGCACAUGUAAAGUUCUCACAACAUGAUAGGCACUAAGUAAACAGUGGUUCUCUUUCUCUCACCUUUGUUUUUUCACUACCAGGAAACUUACUCUAUACCCAGGCUUCCUGAGUAAAUUUUAAGCUGAACUCCCAAAUCUUACAUUAAAAAAAAGUUUAGGAUAAUAAAUAUAUGAAAAAAUUCUCGGCAUAAUUAUUCAUUGGAAAAAUGCAAAUGACAAUGAGAUAUCAGUAACAGCCAGCAGAAUGGCUAAAAUUAAGAAUAUGAAGAACUGAGGAAGAAGAAAACCCUCUGUAACUGGUGGGACUGUUAAUUGGCACAGUGACUUUAGAAAAACUUUUGGCAGCACUUAGUAAAUCUAUAUACACUUUCAUACACACAACGUGAAUGCUUUUGUCCUCCAAAGGAUAUAUAAAAUAGUAUUCAGAUAAUAGCCACCCUCUGGAAAAGAUUAUCCAGCAACAGUAAAAUAUGUCAAUUGUGGUAUAUAACUGCAAUAGAAACCUACACAUGGAUAAAAAAGGAUGAACUAGUGAUACGCACAAUAAUAUAGAUGAAUCUCACAGAUGUAAUGCUGAGUAAAAAGAAGUCAGGUGCAAAAACCUACAUGUCAUCUCUUUCAUUUAUAUGAAAUUCAAAAAGGGGUAAAACAGAAUAAUGGCUCCCCUGGGGGUAAGCACUGACUGCAAGGUGAAUGCCUUCUAUCGCGCUAGAAAUGUGCUAGACCUUCUUAUGUGUGGUGCUGAAAGAAGUUUACACAAUAUAUAAAAAUUCAUUAUGGGCUUCAUUUAAGCUCUGUGCAACUUAACAUACACAAUAUAACUCAACAGAAUUAAGGGGGUAAUGUCAGUGUUUCUGACAUUUCUUUGUAUCAGCAAUUCUCAGUAUUAACAUUGUAUUUGAUCAGUUUUUUUAAUUGCUUGCUCUAUGUUCAGCAACUUUUUCGUUCUUAAAAGUUUUAGUACAUAAAAUGUUAUUUUCAAGAGAAAUCUAGUACCCUUCUUACAAAGCAUACUUUUAAGAGGUGAUUUUUCCCCCAAAGGCCAAACAAAUAAGAGUGAGUCUAUUCAUAGCUCUAAGAGCCAGAGUGGCUGAAACUUAAAUUAAGCCAGUGAUUUUUCCUACCAACGCUUCACUUGGACCACUAAUAACCAAGUCAGACAGCACCACAGCAACAAGUAUGCAGUGGAACCAGAGUGGAGAUUAAUAAGAGUUUUCCCUUUUCUAUGGAAUGAUGUGAAAGCUUUUUUUAUUGUUAACUUUUUUUGUAUUUUUGGAGCCACACCUGUGGCAUAUGGAAGUUCCCCAGCUAGGGGUCGAAUCAGAGCUACAGCGGCCGGGCUACACCAUAGGAAUGCCAGAUCCAAGCUGAGUCUUCGACCUACACCGCAGCUCAGGGCAAUGCCAGACCCUUAACCUACUGAGUGGGACCAGGGAUCAAAUCCGUGCCCUCAAGGAAACUAGUCAGGUUCAUUAUCACUGAGCCACAACGGGAAUUCCUGAAAGCAUUUUUUCCCCCCUCAAUUCUCACUUUUCACUUUGAAGUAACUUUUUAAAAGCAAUAUUAGGUUUGUAACAAAAGCAAAGGUACGGAGAUUUCCUAUACACCCGCCUCCACCCAUAUAGCCACAUCCAUAAUCAACAUCACCCAACUUAGUUAUAAAAUGUCACAA